This 542-nucleotide ribosomal RNA is filed under the name Trichoderma hamatum. RNAcentral's name for it is "eukaryotic LSU rRNA". The stretch from base 157 to 310 matches the Rfam family "5.8S ribosomal RNA". Lineage: Eukaryota; Fungi; Ascomycota; Sordariomycetes; Hypocreales; Hypocreaceae. The record is from RNAcentral.
GUGAACGUUGCCAACUGUUGCCUCGGCGGGGUCACGCCCCGGGUGCGUAAAAGCCCCGGAACCAGGCGCCCGCCGGAGGAACCAACCAAACUCUUUCUGUAGUCCCCUCGCGGACGUAUUUCUUACAGCUCUGAGCAAAAAUUCAAAAUGAAUCAAAACUUUCAACAACGGAUCUCUUGGUUCUGGCAUCGAUGAAGAACGCAGCGAAAUGCGAUAAGUAAUGUGAAUUGCAGAAUUCAGUGAAUCAUCGAAUCUUUGAACGCACAUUGCGCCCGCCAGUAUUCUGGCGGGCAUGCCUGUCCGAGCGUCAUUUCAACCCUCGAACCCCUCCGGGGGAUCGGCGUUGGGGAUCGGGACCCCUCACCGGGUGCCGGCCCUGAAAUACAGUGGCGGUCUCGCCGCAGCCUCUCCUGCGCAGUAGUUUGCACAACUCGCACCGGGAGCGCGGCGCGUCCACGUCCGUAAAACACCCAACUUCUGAAAUGUUGACCUCGGAUCAGGUAGGAAUACCCGCUGAACUUAAGCAUAUCAAUAAGCGGAGG